Molecule: small RNA, 935 nt
Filed under: Arabidopsis thaliana (thale cress)
Lineage: Eukaryota; Viridiplantae; Streptophyta; Magnoliopsida; Brassicales; Brassicaceae
Description: ATSL220690
Source: RNAcentral
UCGUGAUAUGGCAUAUGUUUCCGGUGCAAUUGCAGGUGAUAAUGUCUUCGGAUCCUGCAGGAGCGGUUAGAUUUCUCCAUCCCCCUCCAGUAUUUGAGACGUCACAUGGAUUAACAUUGUAAUUCCAUUUAGUGUUCCAUCAAUUUCUCCCCAAUAAUUCUUAAAACCUCCACUGCAAAAAUUAGAAAAUAAAGCAUAAAUCAAAAUGACCUAAAACUAAAACAAAACUUUGAUUUCCAUUGAUAGAUAUACCAAGCCAAACUAUCAGCAAGUAACAACAAACAAGCCGAAGAGAAAAUGUGAAAUUAGACCUAACAUAUUUAUAAGCAACCAUAACCGUAAACAAUAAAUAAAUAAAACAUACAUUCUUCGUCGGGCAAGUUUGGUGGUUCCAUUGCAAAACCAUAAAAAAGGAACAAAAUCAACAACGAAAGUAUUAUUGACUCCAUCGCCAAAGACUGCAAGAAGAAGAAAAAAAAUUAUCUGCUUACGGAACAAGAGAGAAAAAAAGACUGGGAGAGAGAGAGAUAGAGAGUGUAUGCGAAAGAUUAUCUUCUCACAGAGAGAGAAUUCAAUAUUCUUGGUUAUAAUUUAAUGUUUUCACUUAAGCUCUAUCUGCUGCUCAAGAUUAGCUGACUUCGAGGAUGUUACGUGAAUUUACUAGGAUGCUUUAUUAUUUACUUCUUAAAAUCUGAAAAGAAAAACAUUUUCAUAUCCCCUUUUCAUCCAUGUUAGGGAUCAGAUUGCUCUGUUUAAUAUAUUAAAUUUCAGAUUUUUAUGUAUUGAUUUUUAUACAUUUAGCUUUGUUACUUUUCAUCAUUGUAACAUAUUUUCAAUAGAAUGUAAGUUUUUUCCAUUUGCAAGACCACAUCCAAAAAAAGUUUCCACUUUUGAAAGCUAUGUUAGUAAGUCAUUAUGUUCUAAUAUGAUUAAUU